GUCACCACCACAAGAACUGCUCAAUAGUAUUUGAGCAGCACCACAACAGUACUAGCAGUUCCCUAGUACACAAACACACCCAGCCGCAUAAUAUGUACCUCAUACCAGCAAGAACAUCUCAUGAUCCACAAGAACAACACACUGGUUAAACCACUGAAAUCAUCAGAUAGAUCCUAGGAAGAAGUAGAAGCAGCAAGGAGGUGCAGGCAUGCCACAAGAAGCAGGCUAUUCCAGAAACCAGAAGACCAAGCUUCUCUACAGCAGCAGAUUGGGAAGCAACCGAAGAAGAAUCUUCUGUAGAACUCGAAGAUGGAGGAGUCAACUACUACGGGGAAAUGGACUCAUUCAACGGAGUCGAAGGAGUCAAUUUCUACAUCAACCAGGAGGAAAACAUAGACGAGGAGUAGAAGGGAAGCAAUUCCCUAACCCUAUAACCUAAAUAGAUAGGGUUCAGCUAUAGCAGCAUUAGCAAGCCAACUAGUAAUAAAAGUAGAUCUAGUUGUAGUCUAGCCUACGAGUUAUUUUUCUGGAGUUUUAUUUGCAGUUUUACCUUAUUGUAUUACGAGGCUGUGAAGAUCUUUUGUAACAAGUUAGAGUUGUAACUCUAUAGACAUGCCUUGGACUCGCAUAUGUUUCUGUUGUACCACUCUGAGGGAUGUAAUACUAGUGGAACGGUAUUUCA
This is a non-coding RNA of Lolium perenne, 682 nucleotides long. The record is from RefSeq and is a predicted model, not a curated record. NCBI's taxonomy places the organism in Eukaryota, Viridiplantae, Streptophyta, Magnoliopsida, Poales, Poaceae.